AAGCGUUAUCCGGAUGGCGAAAGCGAGCGCAGGCGGUUUUUUGUCUGAUGUGAAAGCCCUCGGCUUCCGAGGAAGUGCAUCGGAAACUGGGAAACUUGAGUGCAGAAGAGGACAGUGGAACUCCAUGUGUAGCGGUGAAAUGCGUAGAUAUAUGGAAGAACACCAGUGGCGAAGGCGGCUGUCUGGUCUGUCUGACGCUGAGGCUCGAAAGCAUGGGUAGCGAACAGGAUUAGAUACCCUGGUAGUCCAUGCCGUACGAUGAAUGCUAGGUGUUGGAGGGUUUCCGCCCUUCAGUGCCGCAGCUCGCAUUGCAUUCCGCCUGGGGAGUACGACCGCAAGGUUGAAACUCAAAGGAAUUGACGGGGGCCCGCACAAGCGGUGGAGCAUGUGGUUUUUCGAAGCAACGCGAAGAACCUUACCAGGUCUUGACAUCUUUUGAUCACCUGAGAGAUCAGGUUUCCCCUUCGGGGGCAAAAUGACAGGUGGUGCAUGGUUGUCGUCAGCUCGUGUCGUGAGAUGUUGGGUUUCCCGCAACGAGCGCAACCCGUUGCCAGCAUUUAGUUGGGCACUGGACUGCCGGUGACAAACCGGAGGAAGGUGGGGAUGACGAAUCAUCAUGCCCCUUAUGACCUGGGCUACACACGUGCUACAAUGGAUGGUACAACGAGUUGCGAGACCGCGAGGAGCUCUCCCAUUCUCAGUUCGGACUGUAGGCUGCAACUCGCCUACACGAAGUCGGAAUCGGUCGCGGAUCAGCACGCCGCGGUGAAUACGUUCCCGGGCCUUGUACACACC
Molecule: ribosomal RNA, 795 nt
Filed under: Lacticaseibacillus rhamnosus
Lineage: Bacteria; Bacillati; Bacillota; Bacilli; Lactobacillales; Lactobacillaceae
Description: bacterial SSU rRNA
Rfam family: Bacterial small subunit ribosomal RNA
Source: RNAcentral